AUGAUGUAUUUUGGCCUGAAGAUUACUUCUUUCCAGCUGGUGCUAGAGACCUAAUUGACAGACUACUAAAAAAGGACCCAUUGGAACGUCUGGGCACAGCUGGCACGAAUGAGUUGAAACAGCAUCUAUUCUUUAUGAAUCUAGAUUGGAACAAAUUACUUGAGGAGGAACCGGAGUUUGUUCCAAACUUGUUAUCUGAGGAAGAUACAGUGUACUUUAAACCCCGUUCAGGAGAAGUGCAUCAUGACAGCUAUAAAAUGAAUACCUUCAGUGGUGAUGAUGAAUAUGUGAAAAUCAGCAAUUUUUCUUCCUGUUCUCCCCGGUUCUAUAAGGUAAUAGAU
Molecule: long non-coding RNA, 341 nt
Organism: Protopterus annectens (West African lungfish)
Lineage: Eukaryota; Metazoa; Chordata; Ceratodontiformes; Protopteridae
Exons: 3
Source: RefSeq, a predicted model, not a curated record